RNAcentral lists this ribosomal RNA (301 nucleotides) under uncultured bacterium. Its description in RNAcentral is "partial 16S ribosomal RNA". It matches the Rfam family "Bacterial small subunit ribosomal RNA", at positions 509 to 807 of the family's 1533-position model. The record is from RNAcentral.
CAGUCGCCACGGGAAUACAGAGGGUGCGAGCGUUAAUCGGAUUUACUGGGCGUAAAGCGUGCGUAGGCGGCUUUUUAAGUCGGAUGUGAAAUCCCUGAGCUUAACUUAGGAAUUGCAUUCGAUACUGGGAAGCUAGAGUAUGGGAGAGGAUGGUAGAAUUCCAGGUGUAGCGGUGAAAUGCGUAGAGAUCUGGAGGAAUACCGAUGGCGAAGGCAGCCAUCUGGCCUAAUACUAACGCUGAGGUACGAAAGCAUGGGGAGCAAACAGGAUUAGAUACCCCGGUAGUCCCUGUCUCUUAUAC